CAGUCGCCGCGGGAAAACGGAGGGGGCUAGCGUUGUUCGGAAUUACUGGGCGUAAAGCGCACGUAGGCGGCUUGGUAAGUUAGAGGUGAAAGCCUGGAGCUCAACUCCAGAAUUGCCUUUAAGACUGCCGAGCUAGCAGGUGAGAGAGGUAAGUGGAAUUCCGAGUGUAGAGGUGAAAUUCGUAGAUAUUCGGAAGAACACCAGUGGCGAAGGCGGCUUACUGGCUCAUACUGGACGCUGAGGUGCGAAAGCGUGGGGAGCAAACAGGAUUAGAUACCCCGGUAGUCCCUGUCUCUUAUAC
RNAcentral lists this ribosomal RNA (301 nucleotides) under uncultured bacterium. RNAcentral describes it as "partial 16S ribosomal RNA". It matches the Rfam family "Bacterial small subunit ribosomal RNA", at positions 509 to 807 of the family's 1533-position model. The record is from RNAcentral.